GGGGAAUAUUGCACAAUGGAGGAAACUCUGAUGCAGCAACGCCGCGUGAAGGAAGAAGGCCUUCGGGUUGUAAAUUUCUGUCUUUGGGGAAGAAUAAAUGACGGUACCCAAGGAGGAAGCCACGGCUAACUACGUGCCAGCAGCCGCGGUAAUACGUAGGUGGCAAGCGUUGUCCGGAAUUACUGGGUGUAAAGGGUGCGUAGGCGGGUGAUCAAGUCAGGUGUGAAAUACCACGGCUCAACUGUGGGGGUGCACUUGAAACUGAACAUCUUGAGUGAGGUAGAGGUAAGCGGAAUUCCAAGUGUAGCGGUGAAAUGCGUAGAUAUUUGGAGGAACACCAGUGGCGAAGGCGGCUUACUGGGCCUUAACUGACGCUGAAGCACGAAAGCAUGGGGAGCAAAC
This 402-nucleotide ribosomal RNA is filed under the name uncultured bacterium. Its description in RNAcentral is "bacterial SSU rRNA". It matches the Rfam family "Bacterial small subunit ribosomal RNA", at positions 356 to 773 of the family's 1533-position model. The record is from RNAcentral.